Molecule: ribosomal RNA, 468 nt
Filed under: uncultured bacterium
Lineage: Bacteria
Description: partial 16S ribosomal RNA
Rfam family: Bacterial small subunit ribosomal RNA
Source: RNAcentral
GACGAACGCUGGCGGCGUGCUUAACACAUGCAAGUCGAACGGAAAGGCCCUGCUUUUGUGGGGUGCUCGAGUGGCGACCGGGUGAGUAACACGUGAGUAACCUGCCCUUGACUUUGGGAUAACUUCAGGAAACUGGGGCUAAUACCGGAUAGGAGCUCCUGCUGCAUGGUGGGGGUUGGAAAGUUUCGGCGGUUGGGGAUGGACUCGCGGCUUAUCAGCUUGUUGGUGGGGUAGUGGCUUACCAAGGCUUUGACGGGUAGCCGGCCUGAGAGGGUGACCGGCCACAUUGGGACUGAGAUGCGGCCCAGACUCCUACGGGAGGCAGCAGUGGGGAAUAUUGCACAAUGGGCGGAAGCCUGAUGCAGCAACGCCGCGUGCGGGAUGACGGCCUUCGGGUUGUAUACCGCUUUCGCCUGUGACGAAGCGUGAGUGACGGUAAUGGGUAAAGAAGCACCGGCUAACUACGUG